AUAUAAUAAACCCAUAAUUUUACACAAUGAAUUUGUAGUAAUAAAAUUUUAAAAUAAGAAAUAAGUUUGGCCCCUGUUGUAAUUUGGGACCUAGGAGAUAUAGACACUCUGCACUUCCUUCUCCAACUGCUUGUUGUAUUCUCUGUAACCCAUUAUCCCUGGAAAAGCAUUUUCUCCCUGUGGAUCCUAGACUGUUACAGAAAUUAAAAAUCCCCUCCCUUGCAUACCCAAAUUUCUUCUCUUCAGAGGGCACAGCCAAUGGCGUACACUUCCAACUGAAAUUGCAGGACAGCUGCUGUUCUUUGCUCCUGGAGAUCCCCAGUGGUGAACCACUUAACCAACAUAUUUUGAUUAUCUACCAUGAGUCUGCAGUGAAGGGUUCUUCAGUUCUGAAAAAGCUCACAGUCUGGGAGAAGAGAUAAAGCCAAGCUAUUAACUCUCAGCAAAGGUGAACCUGAAAGACCCCCAGAGGCUCAGGCCCCCAGGAUAUUGGCCCAGGACCCAGCGACCCCAAUCACCAGGCAGAGUCGAAAACUUGAUGUAAACAGCAAGAGAGACCAUGAGGGUUUACAAGGAAGCAUAAGAACAAUUUUCUCCAUGAAGAUAUCAAAGCAGAAGAAAAAUAGGAUGAAAAUAUAAGAUGAACUCAGAUGAGACCCCAUAAGGCAUUGUUGGAGAUUCUGAGACUCCUGAUAGUAAAAGCGAAGAGGAAAAUGUACCUUCCAGCUGAGCCACCUCACCAGUCCCAAGUAUCUGUGGUCUCUGAAGCUGCUUUGAAGCUGGUAUUGGUGACAGGAAACCCCACGAAGAAAAUUAUCUCCUCGAAAAC
RNAcentral lists this long non-coding RNA (829 nucleotides) under Cricetulus griseus (Chinese hamster). RNAcentral describes it as "lncRNA (ENSCGRG00015037398.1)". Lineage: Eukaryota; Metazoa; Chordata; Mammalia; Rodentia; Cricetidae. The record is from RNAcentral.